GCCUGGGUGGCGGAAUCGGUAGACGCACGGGACUUAAAAUCCCGUGUCCUCUGUGGACGUGCGGGUUCAAGUCCCGCCCUAGGCACCA
Molecule: transfer RNA, 88 nt
Filed under: Psychrilyobacter atlanticus
Lineage: Bacteria; Fusobacteriati; Fusobacteriota; Fusobacteriia; Fusobacteriales; Fusobacteriaceae
Also listed under: 5 other names
Rfam family: tRNA
About the family: Transfer RNA (tRNA) molecules are approximately 80 nucleotides in length. Their secondary structure includes four short double-helical elements and three loops (D, anti-codon, and T loops).
Source: RNAcentral